Molecule: ribosomal RNA, 468 nt
Filed under: uncultured bacterium
Lineage: Bacteria
Description: partial 16S ribosomal RNA
Rfam family: Bacterial small subunit ribosomal RNA
Source: RNAcentral
GAUGAACGCUGGCGGCGUGCUUAACACAUGCAAGUCGAACGGAAAGGCCCGAGCUUGCUUGGGUACUCGAGUGCCGAACGGGUGAGUAACACGUGUGUGAACUGCCCUGCACUUCGGGAUAAACCUUGGGAACUGGGGCUAAUAUCGGAUAGGAUCUCUUCUUGGAUGUUGUUGUGGAAAGUUUUCUGGUUGUGGGAUGAGUUCGCGGCCUAUCCGCGUGUUGGUGGGGUAAUGGCGUAGCAAGGCGUCGACGGGUAGCCGGCCUGUGAGGGUGUAGGGCCACAUUAGGCCUCUGAUGCGGGCCACAGUCGUGCGGGUGGCAGCAAGGGCGAAUGUCGGACGAUGGGCGCCCGCGUGAUGCAGCGACGCCGCGUGAGGGAAGACGGCUUUCGGGUUGUAAGCUCCUUUCGCUAGGGACGAAGCGUCUUUGUGACGGUACCUGGAGAAGAAGCACCGGCUAACUACGUG